This 236-nucleotide unclassified non-coding RNA is filed under the name uncultured Coprinellus. Its description in RNAcentral is "sequence contains ITS1". The record is from RNAcentral. Lineage: Eukaryota; Fungi; Basidiomycota; Agaricomycetes; Agaricales; Psathyrellaceae.
AUGAAUAACUUGAUGUGGUUGUAGCUGGCUCUUAGGAGCAUGUGCACGCCCGUCAUCUUAUCUUUCCACCUGUGCACAUAAUGUAGAUCUGGAUAACUCUCGCUCUCACGAGCGGAAACAGGGAUUGCUGUGUCGCAAGACCAGCUCUCCUUGAAUUUCCAGGUCUAUGUCAUUACAAACUCCAAUUGAAUGAUGUAGAAUGAAGUCAAUGGGCUCUAAGCCUAUAAAACACAAUA